Molecule: ribosomal RNA, 440 nt
Filed under: uncultured bacterium
Lineage: Bacteria
Description: partial 16S ribosomal RNA
Rfam family: Bacterial small subunit ribosomal RNA
Source: RNAcentral
CCUACGGGAGGCAGCAGUGGGGAAUAUUGCACAAUGGGGGAAACCCUGAUGCAGCGACGCCGCGUGAGUGAAGAAGUAAUUCGUUAUGUAAAGCUCUAUCAGCAGGGAAGAAAAUGACGGUAGCUGAGUAAGAAGCCCCGGCUAACUACGUGCCAGCCGCCGCGGUCAUACGUAGGGGGCAAGCGUAAGCCGGAUUAACUGGGUGUAAAGGGAGCGUAGUCGGCAGUGCAAGUCUGGAGUGAAAGGCGGGGGCGAAACGCCCGGACUGCUCAGGAAACUGUACGGCGGGAGUGCAGGAGAGGUAAGUGGAAUGGCUAGUGUAGCGGUGAAAUGCGUAGAUAUUAGGAGGAAAACCAGUGGCGAAGGCGGCUUACUGGACUGUAACUGACGUUGAGGCUCGAAAGCGUGGGGAGCAAACAGGAUUAGAUACCCUAGUAGUC